This 774-nucleotide ribosomal RNA is filed under the name uncultured bacterium. RNAcentral's name for it is "bacterial SSU rRNA". It matches the Rfam family "Bacterial small subunit ribosomal RNA", at positions 105 to 895 of the family's 1533-position model. The record is from RNAcentral.
GGUGAGUAACGCGUUGGUGACCUGCCCCAAAGUGUGGGAUAACAGUCCGAAAGGAUUGCUAAUACCUCAUGUGGCCAUCGGGUUUAGAAACCGAUGUCUAAAGCAGCAAUGCGCUUUGGGAUGGACCUGCGUCCCAUCAGCUAGUUGGUGAGGUAACGGCUCACCAAGGCGACGACGGGUAGGGGGCCUGAGAGGGUGCCCCCCACAAUGGAACUGAAACACGGUCCAUACACCUACGGGUGGCAGCAGUAGGGAAUAUUGCACAAUGGGCGAAAGCCUGAUGCAGCAACGCCGCGUGAGCGAUGAAGGCCUUCGGGUCGUAAAGCUCUUUUCUGGGAGAUGAGAAAGGACAGUAUCCCAGGAAUAAGUCUCGGCUAACUACGUGCCAGCAGCCGCGGUAAAACGUAGGAGGCAAGCGUUAUCCGGAUUCACUGGGCGUAAAGCGCGUGCAGGCGGUUUGGUAAGUUGGGCGUGAAAUCUCCCGGCUCAACUGGGAGGGGUCGUUCAAAACUACCAGACUCGAGAGCGAUAGAGGAAAAUGGAAUUCCCGGUGUAGUGGUGAAAUGCGUAGAUAUCGGGAGGAACACCAGUGGCGAAAGCGAUUUUCUGGAUCGUUUCUGACGCUCAGACGCGAAAGCUAGGGUAGCAAACGGGAUUAGAGACCCCGGUAGUCCUAGCUGUAAACGAUGUGAACUUGGCGUCGGUGGCUUAAACACCAUCGGUGCUGCAGCUAACGCGAUAAGUAUACCGCCUGGGGACUACGAUCGCAAGAUU